Molecule: ribosomal RNA, 253 nt
Filed under: uncultured bacterium
Lineage: Bacteria
Description: partial 16S ribosomal RNA
Rfam family: Bacterial small subunit ribosomal RNA
Source: RNAcentral
GACGUAGGGCGCGAGCGUUGUCCGGAUUUAUUGGGCGUAAAGAGCUCGUAGGCGGUCUGUCGCGUCCGUUGUGAAAACUCGAGGCUCAACCUCGGGCUUGCAGUGGAUACGGGCAGACUAGAGUGCGGUAGGGGAGACUGGAAUUCCUGGUGUAGCGGUGGAAUGCGCAGAUAUCAGGAGGAACACCGAUGGCGAAGGCAGUGUCCUGGCUGGCAUCUGACGCUGAGGCGCGAAAGCUAGGGGAGCGAACAGG